RNAcentral lists this ribosomal RNA (1390 nucleotides) under metagenome. Its description in RNAcentral is "bacterial SSU rRNA". It matches the Rfam family "Eukaryotic small subunit ribosomal RNA", at positions 196 to 1374 of the family's 1831-position model. The record is from RNAcentral.
GAGAAAUGCAUUUGACCGGUACAAAAGCUGGCGCUCGCAAGAGCAGCGUGUAUGGAUGAACUAGGUUAAAAUGGUAAUAGCGUAGCAGUCUUGCACUGGCGCUAGGCUGUGUGAAUUUCUGCCCUAUCAGCUUUCGAUGGUAGUGCAGUGGACUACCGUGGCAUCUACGGGUAACGAGGAAUCAGGGUUUGAUUUCGGAGAGGGAGCUCUAGAAACGGCUACCACAUCUAAGGAAGGCAGCAGGCGCGCAAAUUGCCCAAUACCAGCACUGGUGAGGCAGCGACGAACAAUAACAACUCCGCACACUUCGGUUUGUGGAGAUUGUAAUGGACGGUAUCCAAAACCAUCAAUGAGUAUCAAUUGGAGGGCAAGUCUGGUGCCAGCAGCCGCGGUAAUUCCAGCUCCAAUAGCGUAUGCUAACGUUGUUGCUGUUAAAAAGCUCGUAGUUGGGCAAAGAGUUAGCCAUUGCAAAGCGGGCCCAGAAGGGUAGCUUGUUCAGUGACACCUCGGUGUACCUGGCAGGUUAUCUUGAUGGGAUACAAACCCUUUGCGUACGAUGUCUGCUCUUUGCACAUGGAAGUAGAACUCUCGCGGAAGCUACCUUGAUUGGUAGUGAAAGUAGUUCCGCAUUUAACACAUGCACAAGGGAGUGUCCGUGGUAGUUACUGUGAACAAAACAGCGUGUUCAAGGCAACCCUUUGCAUGGUUGCAUGAUUCAGCAUAGAAUAACAAGGUAUCGAACAUGGGAUCGUCUUUUGGCCAGUCUUCUAGAUCAACGUGUAGAAUGCAGGACAGGAUGGCUGGCAGGUGCGCAGUCAUGCGGGUUUUCCCAAAUGCUGCUAACCUGUCAGUACCUGUAUCUAUCGGGAUUAACGGAUUCCAUCGGGGAGAUGGGUAUUGUCAAGCUAGAGGUGAAAUUCUUAGAACUUUGCAGGUCCAACGAAGGCGCAGGCAUUUCUCAAGCGUGUUUUCAUUGAUCAAGAACGAGAGUUUGGGGAUCGAAGAUGAUCAGAUACCGUCGUAGUCCACACCGUAAACUAUGCCGAUCGGGUAUUGGAUGUUCUGUUCAAACUCCCGAUGUGUCCGGGACUUUCACUUACCUUUAUAAGAGAAAUCCGAAUGUAUGGGUUCAGGGGGGAGUACAUUCGCAAGGCCGAAACUUAAAGGAAUUGACGGAAUGACACCACCAGGCGUGGAGUGUGCGGCUUAAUUUGACACAACACGGGGAACUUUACCAGGUCAGGACAAUGCAAGGAUUGACAGAUUGAGAGCUCUUUCUUGAUUCAUUGGAUGGUGGUGCAUGGCCGGUCUUGGUUCAUGGGGUGACCUGUCUUCUUAACUGCGGUAACGAACGAGAUCUCUUCCCUUAACCAGGUGUUUGAUUCAUUAU